UGUCCACGCUCCCACCCACACCUAAGACAUGGAGCGGCAGAUGGGAGAAAGUCCUGUCCGGAUUUGCAAAAUAAAAUGAAAUAAAAAGGCCAGAUGGAGCGAAGCCCCCAACGCUUUUGGUGAGGCUCGUUGUCUUUUGCCGGGGAGCACACGCGAGUCCCGGGGCCGAAAAGGCUGUAAAAAGAGAAAUCCGGAACCCAGAGACACAUCUGAAAAAGGCACCUACCUUAGUCGUGGCAAAGCUGCAGUGGCUCCAAGUGUUCUUUUGCACACAUCCAGAUUUUUCUAGGGAAGCCUGAGUGAGGGUAGGAUUCGGGAGGCUGUGUGGUCCAGGAGCCUGUGCUUGCUUUCUCUCGAAUCCCAAGCAGAUCUGCUCAUCCAAAGGAAUGUGGGGACCACCGGCUGGUCCUUGUGGAGGAAAUUCGUCGUGUCUGCCCCCGAAGAGUCGGGAAGAACAAGCAACACAGUCCGAGCAGGGAGGGCAGACCGAGGUCUGAAUAAGAGCUCUGUGCUGAGAGACAGAGACGGGUCUGCAAGGAAAAGGGGAGAUUGAAGAGAGAGCUCCCGAUGUCUCCCCGGUCCCCCUCUGCUAUUGGACCAAACUGAAUGGAAUUUACAAAGCCAGCAGCCAAUAGAUCUCCGCACUGGGUCCCAUCACUACAGAAACCACAUCCACAGCUACAAGCGAAUGCAAAGAGCAGCUAAUCCCAGUGCAAACCAGCUGUAACCGAGGUCCCCUCCCGGGGCCAGGGGUGGCGGAACAGGCCUACGAAUGUAUUUGUUGAAGGCAAAAGAUGAUGGCCGCUACCCAGACGACUUGGAUGGCAAACUUAGGCAUCCAACCUGCCGGAUGCCUGUGUGGCUCAGUGGUUGAGCGUCUGCCU
Long non-coding RNA from Canis lupus familiaris (dog), 884 nucleotides. RefSeq lists it as uncharacterized. The transcript is spliced from 3 exons. The record is from RefSeq and is a predicted model, not a curated record. Lineage: Eukaryota; Metazoa; Chordata; Mammalia; Carnivora; Canidae.